Small nucleolar RNA from Haliotis rufescens (red abalone), 73 nucleotides. RefSeq annotates it as small nucleolar RNA SNORD83. The record is from RefSeq and is a predicted model, not a curated record. NCBI's taxonomy places the organism in Eukaryota, Metazoa, Mollusca, Gastropoda, Lepetellida, Haliotidae. The transcript has a single exon.
GCCAGAUGAUGCACUAACUGAUUGAGCUAUGUGCAGUGAUAACUCCUAUCUAUCACCCAUAAUACUGAUGGCU